Oncorhynchus tshawytscha (Chinook salmon) is the source of this 364-nucleotide long non-coding RNA. Lineage: Eukaryota; Metazoa; Chordata; Actinopteri; Salmoniformes; Salmonidae. The record is from Ensembl.
UGAGUAGUUUGUCUUAAGGACAGAUCCCGGUUGUCCCUGUUACAGGUCCUGUUUGUCUUAAGGACAGAUCCUGUUUGUCCCUGUUACAGGUCCUGUUUGUCCCUGUUACAGGUCCUGUUUGUCUUAAGGACAGAUCCUGUUGUCCCUGUUACAGGUCCUGUUGUCCCUGUUACAGGUCCUGUUUGUCUUAAGGACAGAUCUUGUUGUCCCUGUUACAGGUCCUGUUUGUCUUAAGGACAGAUCCUGUUUGUCCCUGUUACAGAUCCUGUUUGUCCUGUUUGUCCCUGUUACAGGUCCAGUUUGUCCCUGUUACAUUCGCAACCUGGAACCCAUUUCCAUCAUGGCCACCUAAUCAUCCCCCUCA